RNAcentral lists this long non-coding RNA (1089 nucleotides) under Cyanistes caeruleus (blue tit). RNAcentral describes it as "lncRNA (ENSCCEG00000021845.1)". Lineage: Eukaryota; Metazoa; Chordata; Aves; Passeriformes; Paridae. The record is from RNAcentral.
AUGAUCCGAGAUUCCAGGGGGAGAGGGGGCAGCUCUGGGCAAUCAAGUGCAAUAAAUCCACUGCAAUCACUGAAAUCUCAUCCAGUGAAUCCAUGGAAUGGGAUCCUGCUGGGAUCUGGGAACAUCCCCGGGACGUCCUUCCGGAAUUCGGGAGAAUCCCCAGGAAUUCCCUUCUGGAAUUUGGGAGAAUCCCCAGGAAUUCCUUCUGGAAUUUGGGAGAAUCCCCAGGAAUUCCUUCUGGAAUUUGGGAGAAUCCCCAGGAAUUCCCUCUGGAAUUUGGGAGAAUCCCCAGAGUUCCCUCUGGAAUUUGGGAGAAUCCUCAGGCAUUCCCUCCAGAAUUUGGGGGAAUCCCCUGAGUUCCUUCCCUCUGGAAUGCAGGAGAAUCCCCCAGAAUUUCCUCUGGAAUUUUGGAGAAUUCCCCAGAAUUCUCUCUGGAAUUUGGGAGAAUCCUCAGGAAUUCCUUCCAGAAUUUGGGAGAAUCCCCAGAGUUCCCUUUGGAAUUUGAGAGAAUCCCCAGGAGUUUCCUUUGGAAUUCAGGAGAAUCCCCAGGAAUUCCUUCUGGAAUUUGGGAGAAUCCUCAGGAGUUCUCUUGGGAAUUUUGGAGAAUUCCCCAGAAUUCUCUCUGGAAUUUGGGAGAAUUCCCCAGAGUUCCUUUGGGAAUUUGGGAGAAUCUACAGGAAUUCCCUCCAGAAUUUGGGAGAAUCCCCAAGAAUUCCUUUUGAAAUUUGGGAGAAUCCCCAGGAAUUCCUUCUGGAAUUUGGGAGAAUCCUCAGGAAUUCUCUCUGGAAUUUUGGAGAAUCCCCUGACUUCCUUCCCUCUGGGAUUCAGGAGAAUCCCCCAGAGUUCCCUCUGGAAUUUGGGAGAAUCCCCAAGAAUUCUCUUUGGAAUUUGGGAGAAUCCCCAGGAAUUCCCUCCAGAAUUUGGGGGAAUCCCCUGACUUCCUUCCCUCUGGGAUUCAGGAGAAUCCCCCAGGAUUUCUUCUGGAAUUUGGGAGAAUUCCCCAGAAUUCUCUCUGGAAUUUGGGAGAAUCCUCAGGAAUUCCUUCCAGAAUUUGGGAGAAUCCCCAGGAAUUCCCUCUGGAAUUUGUGA